GCCCCUAUAGCUCAGUUGGUAGAGCUACGGACUUUUAAUCCGCAGGUCCCAGGUUCGAGUCCUGGUGGGGGCAC
This 74-nucleotide transfer RNA is filed under the name Mycobacterium tuberculosis variant bovis. Its description in RNAcentral is "tRNA-Lys". It matches the Rfam family "tRNA". Rfam says of the family: Transfer RNA (tRNA) molecules are approximately 80 nucleotides in length. Their secondary structure includes four short double-helical elements and three loops (D, anti-codon, and T loops). Lineage: Bacteria; Bacillati; Actinomycetota; Actinomycetes; Mycobacteriales; Mycobacteriaceae. The record is from RNAcentral. RNAcentral also lists the same sequence under 13 other names.